RNAcentral lists this long non-coding RNA (291 nucleotides) under Homo sapiens (human). RNAcentral's name for it is "HSALNT0407104". The record is from RNAcentral. Lineage: Eukaryota; Metazoa; Chordata; Mammalia; Primates; Hominidae.
ACGUUCUGUAAAACGAGGACAUGGGAGGAAGCAGAUCAAGGAGGAGCGACACCGCAUUCCUGUCCAAGAAGGAAAAGAUAUGCCUUGAAAUAGACCAGAGAAUAAACAAGACUCAAAACUUCAAGCAAGUCGGGCGCAGUGGCUCAGCCUGUAAUCCCAACACUUUGGGACACCGAGGCGGGGGAGGAUCAUUUGAGCCCAGGAGUUUAAGACCAGCGUGGGCAACAUAGUGAGACCUCAUCUCUACAAAAACUACAAAAAUUAGCCGGGUGAGAUGGCACGUGCCUGUAG